AAGGACGAACGCUGGCGGUGUGCUUCACACAUGCAAGUCGAACGAGGUAGCAAUACCUAGUGGCGGACGGGUGAGUAACGCGCGGGAAUCUGCCUUUAGAUGGGGGAUAACGGGUCGAAAGACUCGCUAAUACCGCAUAUGACGAAAGUUGAAAGGAGUAAUCCGUCUAAAGAUGAGCCCGCGUCCGAUUAGCUAGUUGGUAGAGUAAAAAGCCUACCAAGGCGACGAUCGGUAGCUGGUCUGAGAGGAUGAUCAGCCACAAUGGGACUGAGACACGGCCCAUAUUCCUACGGGAGGCAGCAGUGGGAAUUUACGCAAUGGGCGAAAGCCUGACGUAGCGACACCGCGUGAGCGAAGAAGCCCCUUGGGGUGUAAAGCUCUGUCAGCUGGAACGAAAAAAUGACGGUACCAGCAGAGGAAGCAUCGGCUAACUACGUG
Molecule: ribosomal RNA, 438 nt
Filed under: uncultured bacterium
Lineage: Bacteria
Description: bacterial SSU rRNA
Rfam family: Bacterial small subunit ribosomal RNA
Source: RNAcentral